Oryza sativa Indica Group (long-grained rice) is the source of this 180-nucleotide microRNA precursor. It matches the Rfam family "MIR812 microRNA precursor family". Lineage: Eukaryota; Viridiplantae; Streptophyta; Magnoliopsida; Poales; Poaceae. The record is from Rfam.
UUUAAGUGCAACUAUAAAUUUUCGUGUCUAAUUUUGAUCGUUCGUCUUAUUUAAAAUAUUUUAUAAUUAGUACUUUUAGUGUUAUGAAAUGAUAAAGCAUAAAUAGUGCUUUUAUAUUUUUAAAUAUUUUUAAAUAAGACGGACGAUCAAAAUUUAUGAAAAAUCAUGGUUGUACUUAAA